CUCUGCUUUUAAUAUAUAUAUUUUUUUAAACAAAAAAAAUAAAUAACUGAUUAAAUCAAAUGUACAAUAGACAUUAUGCAAUCAUUAUGCACUUUUAACUACUUCUUCUGGUCCGCUCUGCACAGCUGUCACCGAAAAACAGAAGCACAAUGAGGGGAGAGUGGGGUCAUGGCACCGGGAGAAUAGGGUAAGGUGGGGCUGCAAGGGUAGGCUAGGACAGGGUUAGUUGGGCUGGUGAGGAGGGGGUAAGUUGGGCUGGUAGGGUAGGUAAGGAGGGGGUAAGUUGGGCUGGUGAGGUAGGUGAGGAGGGGGUAAGUUGGGCUGGUGAGGAGGGGGUAAGUUGGGCUGGUGAGGUAGGUGAGGAGGGGUUAAGUUGGGCUGGUGAGGAGGGGGUUAAGUUGGGCUGGUAGGGUAGGUGAGGAGGGGUAAGUUGGGCUGGUGAGAAGGGGGUAAGUUGGGCUGGUGAGGAGGGAAUCAGUUGGGCUGGUAGGGUAGGUGAGGAGGGGGUAAGUUGGGCUGGUGAGGGGGGUAAGUUGGGCUGGUGAGGUAGGUGAGGAGGGGGUAGUUGGGCUGGUGAGGUAGGUGAGGAGGGGGUAGUUGGGCUGGUAGGGUAGGUGAGGAGGGGUAGUUGGGCUGGUGAGGUAGGUGAGGAGGGGGUAGUUGGGCUGGUGAGGUAGGUGAGGAGGGGGUAGUUGGGCUGGUAGGGUAGGUGAGGAGGGGGUAGUUGGGCUGGUGAGGUAGGUGAGGAGGGGGUAGUUGGGCUGGUGAGGAGGGGGUAGUUGGGCUGGUAGGGUAGGUGAGGAGGGGGUAGUUGGGCUGGUGAGGUAGGUGAGGAGGGGGUAGUUGGGCUGGUGAGGUAGGUGAGGAGGGGGUAGUUGGGCUGGUGAGGAGGGG
Molecule: long non-coding RNA, 894 nt
Organism: Oncorhynchus tshawytscha (Chinook salmon)
Lineage: Eukaryota; Metazoa; Chordata; Actinopteri; Salmoniformes; Salmonidae
Source: Ensembl